RNAcentral lists this long non-coding RNA (792 nucleotides) under Salmo salar (Atlantic salmon). RNAcentral's name for it is "lncRNA (ENSSSAG00000082601.1)". The record is from RNAcentral. Lineage: Eukaryota; Metazoa; Chordata; Actinopteri; Salmoniformes; Salmonidae.
GCAACCGCAAGGCUCUCCAGAUUGUGGUGCGGUCUGCCCAAUGCAUCACCGGGGGCAAACUACCUGCCCUCCAGGACACCUACCCUUUGUCACAGGAAGGCCAAAAAGAUCAUCAAGGACAACAACCACCUGAGUCAUUGCCUGUUCACCCCGCUACCAUCCAGAAGGCGAGCUUCCAUUACACAUCAGAACUGCACCAACUGAAAAAAUGAAUACUUCAACCUCAUCUGCAAACUCUUCCCAGCCUACAUAUCAAUUUGCUGCUUUCUUUUCCCAAGAUCAAUCAAUCAGCACUGCUUCCUAUGCAAUCAACUUCAUCCUGGGCCUCCCCACUAAUAUCUACAUCCUGUGGCUGAUAGCGACUGAAGUGGAAGGGAGGAUGGCCUCAGAGUUCUUCACUCUCAACCUGGCCUUGUCUGAGGUCCUCUUUUGCCUGUCAGCUAUCCUAUAUUUUAUCUGGCUACUUCACCCCACCAUCAUUAUUUUGUGCAUUUUGGUAUUUUCUAAUGACAGGCCGUCCGCUGUUCCAGUGCUGUAUCUGUGUAGAGCGCUACCUGGCAGUGGUCCACCCUGUAGUCUACCUGAAGUACAAACCCCUGAGAUACAGGGUGGGGUGUUGUCUGGCUGAUGGUGCUUGUGUCCUGUCUUUUCUUUAUGCUUGGGAAUAAAAUAACUUUUUUAUUUUAUGCUUACUUGGGUGAGUUUCUGAUGUUGUUUUUAUUGAAGCUAUUCUGCUGCCUCUCAGUUCUCAGGGCUCUGAAACGUCCCGGGCCGGGGGAAGGGGAGAGGGAG